AUAGUAAUCUUAAAUAUCCAUCUUUUGUUUAUAAAUCUGAUUUUAAAGACUCUAUUAAUGGAUAUACUAAUCAAUAUGGACAAUAUGUAGAUGAUAAAUAUAUUUAUUUUUUAAACCAAAUUAGUAAUUUUAACAAAAUGGAAAUAGGGUAUGGUAUUUACCUAAAUAUAUAUAAUACUAUUUAUAAAAAAAAACUAGUCACUAUAAAUAGUAGUUUAUAUAGUGAUAAACAAAAAAAUGUUAAUGAAAGUUUGUUAAAAAAGGCACAAUGUUUUAUUUAUAACAAAGGUCAUCGUUUGUAUAAUAAAUUUACUUUCUUACAUAACAUAAAUACAGACUAUGUAUAUAACACAUUUCAAAAAUUAAAAGAUAAUAUGCAUAUGUUCUUAAAAGUCGAUAGUAUAAAAGAACAAUUGGAAUUGAUUUUUCUUAAGUUAAAAAAUGCGAUACACGAAGAAAUGAUACAAAUCGUACAUACAGAAGAUACAGAAGAUACAGGAGAUACAAAUAGUGAUAAACGUUCACCACUAAAUGAAAAAGAAAAAAUAAAUAAUAAGAACGAAGAAAAAUUAAACUAUAAUAGCAAAUACAGUAGUUGGAUGUUUUUGGCUGUCAUUUAUCCUAUAGCAAAUUAUUUUACAUAUUUUUUUUUUAAAACAAUUAAUUUUUUUAUGUAUAUUUUAAACAGUGACUAUUAUAUAUAUACUAACGAAAAAGGUAUAUAUACUAUAAACAAAAAAAAAGAAGAUAUCGGAUGUAACAAUAGGGCAACUUCGACAUCUGUUUCGACUUUACCAUCAUAUGUAUACAAUGCGUACAAAGAAGAGUAUACAAAUAGAUUGCUUGUGAGUAAAAACACAACGUACAAAUUAGUAGUAUUAAAAGAGAAAGGUAAAAAAAAAAAAAAUAUGCAUGAUGAAGAAAAUGAUACUACACUUAUUGUUAUAGAAAAUAAGAAUAACAAUGUAAACGAUAAAAUUGAUAACAGUAAAAAAAUGAUACAAAAUGUUUCAAAAAUAAACAAUUAUAUAAAAGAAAGUAUAAACAAAAUAAUGAAUAGAAAUACAUGUGGAGGUUGUGGAUCUAAAGUACCUUCUAAUGUUUUAUCAAAAUCGUUAAGGCAGUUAGAUAUAUAUAAUUCUCGUAACGUAUUUUUAGGUAUCAAAGGAACAGAUGAUUGUUGUAUCUUUGUUAAUAGUAAAUCAAAAAAAAGUAAAGAUAGCCCUGCUCUUGUUCAGACUAUUGAUUUUUUUAAAACAUUUAUUGAUGAUGAAUAUGUUUUAGGUGAAAUUAUUUCAAUUCAUUGCUUAUCUGAUAUUUAUAGCAUGGGCGGAGUAGGUAUUUGUGCUUUAAGUGUUUUGAUAGUUAAAGAUAAUAUAGAAAAAAAACUGCAACAGAGGCUAGAAAAUAUAUUAACUGGCAUUUGUCAAAAAUUGAAAGAAGAGAAAUGUGUU
RNAcentral lists this long non-coding RNA (1454 nucleotides) under Piliocolobus tephrosceles (Ugandan red Colobus). Its description in RNAcentral is "lncRNA (ENSPTEG00000007225.1)". Lineage: Eukaryota; Metazoa; Chordata; Mammalia; Primates; Cercopithecidae. The record is from RNAcentral.